AAUCAACGCUGGCGGCGUGCCUCAGACAUGCAAGUCGAACGAUUAAGACUCUCUUCGGAGAGUGUAUAAAGUGGCGCACGGGUGAGUAACACGUAGGUAAUGUACCGAAGGGUGGGGAAUAACUUAGGGAAACUUAAGCUAAUACCGCAUAAUGCAGCGGCUCGACAUCGAGACAGUUGUUAAAGGAGCAAUCCGCCUUUUGACGCAGCCUGCGGCAGAUUAGCUAGUUGGUAAGGUAAUGGCUUACCAAGGCUACGAUCUGUAACCGACCUGAGAGGGUGGUCGGUCACACUGACACUGAAUAACGGGUCAGACUCCUACGGGAGGCAGCAGUCGGGAAUUUUGGGCAAUGGGCGAAAGCCUGACCCAGCAACGCCGCGUGAAGGAUGAAGUAUUUCGGUAUGUAAACUUCGUAAGAAUAGGAAGAAUAAAUGACGGUACUAUUUGUAAGGUCCGGCUAACUACGUGCCAGCAGCCGCGGUAAU
This 485-nucleotide ribosomal RNA is filed under the name uncultured bacterium. Its description in RNAcentral is "bacterial SSU rRNA". It matches the Rfam family "Bacterial small subunit ribosomal RNA", at positions 32 to 524 of the family's 1533-position model. The record is from RNAcentral.